AGUAGUCGAUCACUGUAGAAAAUUGACUGAUAGUGAAGUCUAGAGAGCAUUUGGAGCAGUCUGGUAGAUGAAUGGAGGAGCUCAUUAUUGGAGAAGUCCGGAUGGCAUGAUAGGAGUUCGUCCGUUGGAGGAAUCUGGAGGACACUAUGGAAGGUCGACUGCUGGGGAAGUCCGGAUGGUAUUGUGGAAGCUCGGACAGUCAGAGAAGUUCAGAUAGACACCGCACAAGGUCG
This 233-nucleotide long non-coding RNA is filed under the name Elaeis guineensis (African oil palm). Its description in RNAcentral is "long non-coding RNA (EGUI_LNC067367)". Lineage: Eukaryota; Viridiplantae; Streptophyta; Magnoliopsida; Arecales; Arecaceae. The record is from RNAcentral.